CCUUGACUCCUGCUCAGUGGUUAAAUAUUGAUGAUAAUGAGAAAUAGAGGCACUGACCGGGCACUCAACAACACUGGUGACUUCAGACCAUGAAGGUCAGGCAGAGCCUGUUUGCCCCGAGGCCACUCAUUCAAGAGGUCAGUCACCCUGUGGCAGAGAAGGCUGCAGGCCUGGGUAUGUGCUGAGGGCAGAGCUACUCUACUGGCUCAGCUGUUGCAGACUCCAGACACAGGCACAGGCACGGUCCUCCGGGCUGCAGCUGCACUUUCCUGGAGAGAGCUCAGGAACGAAGACCAUCAUCCUGUGCAUCCUGUGCUCCGCUGGGGAGGAGGAAGAGAACAACGGAAAUCAGUGCUGCACCCAAGAGCAGCUGGAGGCCCCAGAGCACAGGGUCUGGGGAUCUUCAGGGCUUAUCUGCUCAGGGCUCAGCUCCUAGAACCCCAGGGAAGCAGCUGGGACCAAGGGGACCUAAGGAAUAGGGCAUGGACCAGAACAAGGAGGCCAUCGGAGCCCCAGCUGGCACCCCAGUGCCCCAGGAGCUGCUGGAGGAAAUGAUUUGGUUUUUCCGUGUAGAAGACGCAUCUGCUUGGAAUUACUCCAUCCUCGUCCUGACAGUCAUGGUGGUGGUCUUGAGCAUGUUCCUCCUGGUCAGGAGCAUCCAGGCAAACAGGUGAGGAGCAGGGCUGGGGGUCUCUGGAGGGGACCUGCCUUGCCUCCCAGAGGGAAAUCUAGGGAGGGCACCAGCCUUCUGCACAGCAAAGGAGCCUUCUGGCUCCUUUGAGAACCCAAAGCUGUUCUAAAACCUGCAACUGUCCCUGAUUACCACCUCCUGGCUCUGGCAGGCAAGCAGGAGUGAGUGUAGCCAUUAAGAAGGUGGCUUUGAAGUUGGCAUGAUGGCACUUGCCUGUAAUCCCAACACUCUGAGAGGCUGAGGCAGGAGGAUCCCAAAUUUGAGCCCAACCUAAGCAAUUUAGUGAGACCUGUCUCAAAAUAAAAAAUAAAAAUGGUUGGGGACAUAGCUUAGUGUGAAGGCCCUGGGUUCCACCCCCAGUACUAGAGGGAAAAAAAGCAGAAGGUAGCUUUGCCCUUCACCUGUCAGGAAGCCCCAUCUCAAAGUGAACUCAAGAGGCAAGGCACUAUCCUCAAGAACAGGGGACACUGGCCACGCCCUUGUGACACUGGCCACGCCCUUGUGACCCACAGGGUGGGGAGUCUCUCAGCACAGCUAGGUCCCUCCCUUGUGGCCAGGAAGGCUGGGGCACCUUGAAUAAAGCCAACUCAAGGGCUGGGGAUUUAGCUCAGUGGCACCGCACCUGCCUUGCAAGCACAGGUCCUGAGUUCAAUCCCCGGUACUGGAAAAAAAAUUAAAAAUAAAACUAACUCGGAGAGAAGACAGAUGGGUGGGAGUUACUGCAAGGAAGAGGAGGUUGAGGAAAGGGGCG
Molecule: non-coding RNA, 1442 nt
Organism: Heterocephalus glaber (naked mole-rat)
Lineage: Eukaryota; Metazoa; Chordata; Mammalia; Rodentia; Bathyergidae
Source: RefSeq, a predicted model, not a curated record